Molecule: ribosomal RNA, 253 nt
Filed under: uncultured bacterium
Lineage: Bacteria
Description: partial 16S ribosomal RNA
Rfam family: Bacterial small subunit ribosomal RNA
Source: RNAcentral
UACAUAGGGUGCAAGCGUUGUCCGGAAUUAUUGGGCGUAAAGAGCUCGUAGGUGGUUCGUUACGUCGGAUGUGAAAAUCUGGGGCUCAACCCCAGACCUGCAUUCGAUACGGGCGAACUAGAGUGUGGUAGGGGAGACUGGAAUUCCUGGUGUAGCGGUGGAAUGCGCAGAUAUUAGGAGGAACAUUAAUGGCGAAGGCAGGUCUCUGGGUUAUUACUGACACUGAGGAGCGAAAGUGUGGGGAGCGAACAGG